Molecule: long non-coding RNA, 1493 nt
Organism: Cicer arietinum (chickpea)
Lineage: Eukaryota; Viridiplantae; Streptophyta; Magnoliopsida; Fabales; Fabaceae
Source: RefSeq, a predicted model, not a curated record
UUUGAAAAUUUUCAAUAGAACCAACUCUAAAUUUAGUCAAAUUGUCUAGAUCCCUAAUUCAUAUUCCUAGUUACGAGAACAUCUUUCAUAGAGUAAACUUCUCCUUGCGUCCAAGAUGAGAUCAUCUUCUAUCUUCGCUCCAAAAUCAUUUUCCCUAAAAUUAUUUCCCCAAAUUAUGAAAUCCUCUUCUUUUUUCUUUUGUCAUUGACCUAAUCAAUUUAUUUGCGAUUGCACUUGUUGUUGCUCAUCUUAAUCGAUUUUUCUAGGGUUCUUGUUUUUUGCUUUGGCAUGUUUAUUGUGUUCGCCCUUUCAUUGGGCCUUGCAUUUCGGGUUUAAGAGAAACAACACAUUCUAUAUUUUCGGCGUUUACUGCGUUUUUGACAUUGGCAAUUCUCGCACCACAUGACGAUUUCAUCAUUGUUACGUUUUUCAUUUAAUACUUAUACAAGUAUUUUUAUUUUAAGGUUUUUGUUUUUCAUCAAACGGUGACAAUUGAUGGAACUGCUUCCACAGUUCACACUGAUUAUUAUCUAAUUUAUGGUAGAAGCAGAGCAUUGCCUACAUUACUUAACUUUUUUGUGAAAAUGUUAGGGGUAAUUCAUUACCGCACAUAAUGAUUCUUCUUUAUUCAUUGGAUUGUAUCUGGUUAUUGAUUUAUUUGCUUUUUUUUUUGUUAAGGGGUUCUGAAAUUCUCUUCAAAAAUUUCAAGUCUAAAGAAACAGUUACAUAUCCUUAUGAUGUUAGUGGAAUCAUAAAGCCUUCAAACUAUAAUGAAAUUUUGUUUUUAUAUCAAGCAAAAUGGUGAGCAAUAACAUUAACAUUGCUAAAUGUAAAUGUUACUCUUCUGUUAUUACAGGUGUUGAUUUGGAUUAUUAUACCAACACUUAGGGGUUCAACCAUGGCAAACACUAAAAAUGCCCUUCGUUUUUCAUCAGUUUCUAAUAUAUUCCAAGGUUGUUUUUUAUUUUUCCACUUUCAUCACAAAUUGUAAAAGCUACAGGAGUUGUCACACAAACAGUGUGGGUUCCAUUGCUUGAUCAAAUGGAUGAGAAGAUGUUAGACGCAAUAUGCGAAAGACUAAAGCCUGCAUUGUACACUAAAGGAACUUAUCUUGUUCGCGAAGGUGAUCCAGUAAACGAGAUGUUAUUUAUAAUUCGAGGCAAUCUUGAUUCUUACACCAAAAAUGGAGGUUGGGUCAGAUUCUUCAAGUCAUGUCGAAUCGGACCAGGUGAUUUCUGUGGUGAAGAACUGUUGACAUGGACCUUAAAUCCAAGACCAAGUGUGAUACUCCCUUUUUCAACAAGAACACUUAAAGCUAUCUCAAAAGUUGAAGUCUUUGCACUCAUAACUGAAGACCUUAAGUUUGUUGCGUCUCAAUUUAGAAGACUACAUAGUAAACAACUUAGGCAUAAAUUAGGAAUUAUUGGAACAAGUUGAGCAUAAAUUAUAAAAAAGUUGGUUUUCCAAAUCAAUUAUUUUAGUUUCUUGCUCAA